AAAUAUCUGUAAUCGGUUAGGAUGAACAUAUCAAGGAUAUACUUCCUGGGGAAACGUGAAAAUGAAUCCGCUAGGGAGAAACAAGGUUACUUUUGCCGAGGUACUGGGCAAGAAGUAACAAACUGCCCACUAAAGAGAAUACUACUAGUUACUAGUUAAUAAACUCUCAGGGGACCAAAAAUAUCUAUCUAGGUAAGAUCUAGAAAGAAACAGUCAAUCAAAACUCUACCCAAUGAG
This 237-nucleotide long non-coding RNA is filed under the name Lathyrus oleraceus (garden pea). Its description in RNAcentral is "Pisum sativum (pea) long non-coding RNA (PSAT_LNC029194)". The record is from RNAcentral. Lineage: Eukaryota; Viridiplantae; Streptophyta; Magnoliopsida; Fabales; Fabaceae.